Oreochromis aureus is the source of this 3554-nucleotide long non-coding RNA. Lineage: Eukaryota; Metazoa; Chordata; Actinopteri; Cichliformes; Cichlidae. The record is from Ensembl.
ACCUGUGAAACCUGCACUAAAGAUCAAAGAAGAAAAGGGUGUCGUUAAUAGCCUUCCUGAGAGAGCAAGAGAUCAUCCUGACAUGACAAGAUCUGAGGUCACUGAAAAUCCCAGAGAUGUGGCAAAAAACACAGCAAUCAAACAGCAAAAUGUUAAGAAACAACCUGAAAAGAAACUGAAGAAGACAACAAGCAGCACAAUUUCGACACCUGUGAAACCUGCACUAAAGAUCAAAGAAGUAAAGGGCGUCGUUAAUAGCCUUCCUGAGAAGGCUAGACAUCAUCCUGACACGACAAGAUCUGAAGUCACUGAAAAUCCCAGAGAUGUGGCAAAAAACACAGCAAUCAAACAGCAAAAUGUUAAGAAACAACCUGAAGAGGAACUGAAGAAGACAACAAGCAGCACAAUUUCGACACUUGUGAAACCUGCACUAAAGAUCAAAGAAGUAAAGGGUGUGAUUAAAUUCCUUCCUGAGGGUCUUUACAAUGUCAAGCACAAUGAGCUUACCAUUCAAAAGAAAUAAUAAAUAAGUCCAUCCAUCCAUCCAUUUUCUUCCACUUAUCUGGGGUCUGGUCGCGGGGGCAGCACCCCAAGCAGAGAAGCCCAGACCUCCACCUCUUUCCCCCCUACACCUCCUCCACCUUGUCCGGGGGAUCGCCAAGGCAUUCCCAGGCCGGCCGAGAGUGUCACGGGUUGCCGGGGCAAGCCGAGUGAAUUAUUAAAGGACCCGAAAUGCAGAUGGUUUCUGAGAGAAGACAACAAGCAGCACAAUUUCAACACCUGUGAAACCUGCACUAAAGAUCAAAGAAGUAAAGGGCGUCGUUAAUAGCCUUCCUGAGAGAGCAAGAGAUCAUCCUGACAUGACAAGAUCUGAGGUCACUGAAAAUCCCAGAGAUGUGGCAAAAAACACACCAAUCAAACAGCAAAAUGUUAAGAAACAACCUGAAGAGGAACUGCAAGAACGCAAGGAAGAUCAUGUUGAACAUGAAGAUGAGGAUGAAGAACAGGAAGAUGAGCAUAUAGAUGAAGAUGAUGUUGGUGAAGAUGAGCCUAGAGCUGAGAGAGAUGAGGAUGAAGAAGGUGAUAUUGAUGAAGUCGAGACUGCGCCUGCUGUUGCCUCUAACCAUACUGACAGCAGUGAUAUCAAAGAGAGAGUAACAGAUACAAUUCCAACACCUGGAAAACAUGCAUUAGAGAUGAAAGAAGUAAAGGGUAUCAUUAACAUCCUUCCUGAGAAAGCUAUAGAUCAUCCUGGCAUGCCAAGAUCUGAAUUCUCUGGAAAUAACAGAGAUGUUGCAACAAACACAGCAAUCAAACAGCUGAAUGUCAAGAAAGAACCUGAAGAGGAACUGAAAGAACGCAAGGAAGAUCAUGUUGAACAUGAAGAUGAGGAUGAGGAACAGGAAGAUGAGCAUAUAGAUGAAGAUGAUGUUGGUGAAGAUGAGCCUAGAGCUGAGAAAGAUAAGGAUGAAGAAGGUGAUAUUGAUGAAGUCGAGACUGCGCCUGCUGUUGCCUCUAACCAUACUGACAGCAGUGAUAUCAAAGAGAGAGUAACAGCUACAAUUCCAACACCUGGAAAACAUGCAUUAGAGAUGAAAGAAGUAAAGGGUAUCAUUAACAUCCUUCCUGAGCAGAAGACUAGACAUCAUCCUGACAUGCCAAGAUCUGAAGUCAGUGGAAAUAACAAAGAUGUGGCAAAAAACACAGCAAUCAAACAGCAAAAUGUUAAACAACCUGAAGAGGAACUGAAGAAGACAACAAGCAGCACAAUUUCAACACCUGUGAAACCUGCACUAAAGAUCAAAGAAGAAAAGGGUGUCGUUAAUAGCCUUCCUGAGAGAGCAAGAGAUCAUCCUGACAUGACAAGAUCUGAGGUCACUGAAAAUCCCAGAGAUGUGGCAAAAAACACACCAAUCAAACAGCAAAAUGUUAAGAAACAACCUGAAGAGGAACUGCAAGAACGCAAGGAAGAUCAUGUUGAACAUGAAGAUGAGGAUGAGGAACAGGAAGAUGAGCAUAUAGAUGAAGAUGAUGUUGGUGAAGAUGAGCCUAGAGCUGAGAAAGAUGAGGAUGAAGAAGGUGAUAAUGAUGAAGACAAGAGUGUGCCUUCUGUUGCCUCUAACCAUACUGACAGCAGUGAUAUCAAAGAGAGAGUAACAGCUACAAUUCCAACACCUGGACAACAUGCAUUAGAGAUGAAAGAAGUAAAGGGUAUCAUUAACAUCCUUCCUGAGAAGACUAGACAUCAUCCUGACAUGCCAAGAUCUGAAGUCAGUGGAAAUAACAAAGAUGUGGCAAAAAACACAGCAAUCAAACAGCAAAAUGUUAAACAACCUGAAAAGAAACGGAAGAAGACAACAAGCAGCACAAUUUCAACACCUGUGAAACCUGCACUAAAGAUCAAAGAAGUAAAGGGUGUCGUUAAUAGCCUUCCUGAGAAAGCUGGAGAUCAUCCUGACAUGACAAGAUCUGAGGUCACUGAAAAUCCCAGAGAUGUGGCAAAAAACACAGCAAUCAAACAGCAAAAUGUUAAGAAACAACCUGAAGAGAAACUGCGUCCUUCCUGUGAAGCUCUGCCCGUGUCAGAUGAGUGUGAACAUAAAGAUGUCCCCUGCUCUGGCCACAGUGUAGCUGAAGUACAAUCCAUGAUGCCAGAGAUGAGUGUGGACAUGUCAGAGGCCCGGUUGCCUGGGCCCUCAGCCAGCUCUGGCUUGAAUACAAUGGAUCUUGAUCAACUGAAGAGGAAAAAAAUAAAAAUGCAACUGAAGGUUUUAAAAUUACAAGAAGAGUAUUACACUUUGAAAAUAAAAGAACUGAAAAAAUGAGGAUUAAUGUAAAGCUGACAUUGCAGACAAUAAAUUAAAAGAUCGCUGUUUACAUCCACAAACUGACACACGUUAUCUGGAGGUUUCUUGGGUGGAAUGUUACUUUUGACAAAAGCUACAAAAUCAAGUGUGCUGCAUUUAUACACCGUACUUUGUCGUUGCUGUACUCAGGUUUCCUUUAGUAUUGUUGAUUACCAUGUUUUACUUUGUUAUUAGAAUUAAACAAAUAGCUGAUAUUUCCUUCCUGUAAAAUGUGAAUAAACAAUAUUGAUGCUUUUUAUCUGUAAAUUUUGCAAGUGUUAUGAAACUGUGUUUCCUUUGGACUUUGCCCAACCUGUAGUAAUAGUUGUAAGAAGUAGCCUUUAAACAGCAUCGUGCAAUGUCUUGAGCCACAGCUCAUUUCUUUAUGUUUUGCUUCCAAGGAGCAAGAACUUUUAGAAAUUUGCAAGAAAAUAACAAUAUGUGCUCUUUUACUUUGAAGCAUUGUUAGUAAUACAUCAAUCAUAUCUGUGACAGAUGAGCAUAACUGUUUAAAUUCCAAAGAAAUUAGACCCCCCCAAAAAAUUCAUGUAAAUUUGUCCAACCAUAAUGAGAAAAUAUGAAAUGAAUAAAGGAGAGUUACAGUGAUGUGCAAAAGUCUUGAGCCAGGACACGUCAUGCAGAGAUAUGUUAAGUGUCCAGCUAAUAGAUCUUUGGGCAUCAGUUGGUUCCACAAUAAAAAAAAUUCUG